Molecule: unclassified non-coding RNA, 333 nt
Filed under: Hevea brasiliensis (rubber tree)
Lineage: Eukaryota; Viridiplantae; Streptophyta; Magnoliopsida; Malpighiales; Euphorbiaceae
Source: RNAcentral
UGAAGCUGACGACCCAGAAGGCGCGGAGGACGGCGGGGUGCUUGGUGGCGAGGAACCGCUUCUCGUGGGCGAUUAGAACGGUGGCGGCGAGGUUUGCGGCGAGCUGGAGGGCUAGAAAGAUGGCCUCGGCGGUGCGCCAAGUUGAGGCGGUGGAGGUGGCGAGGGCGGUGACGAGAAGGGCGGCGUAGGCGGCGGCAAGGAGGGCGGUGAGGGCGAGAGAGAGCUUGAAGAAGAUGGUGAUGCGGACGACAGGGCGGGCGUCGGGGAGGAGGGGCUUGUGGGCUUCGUCUUCAUUGGCCGCUCUGCGGCGGCGGUGGGAGAUCUUGUGUGCAG